This 548-nucleotide ribosomal RNA is filed under the name uncultured Aminicenantes bacterium. RNAcentral's name for it is "partial 16S ribosomal RNA". Lineage: Bacteria; Candidatus Aminicenantota. The record is from RNAcentral.
AUGCCCUCCGUCGUCACCCCUUAAAACGCGUUACCCGCUUUCGGACUGCGUCGCUGCGGCGCACUCCCUACUUCCAGAAGCACUAGCAUUUGGAGACAGUCCUUCCUAAUUCCGUACCCACGAUUGUCGUGGGCCACAAACUGAAUUGAAGGUCUCCUUCGGGGCCGAUUGAUGCACGGUCGUCGGCGCCAUUAUGCAUCCCCCGUUCGCAAUGAGCCUAAAUAACCCGCAUUUCGCUUACAUCCGCCAAAACAUUCAGUCCCCACUUUAGGGAGUCGGAUUGACUCCUUAUCGGAAACUAUGACGUUUUGAACUCCUGUCCUCUCCUUUCACCUUAAGGGCCACAUCGCCACCUUACGCAUCUAUAGCCCUCCUUGUGGUCUCCGCUUCCGCCGAAAGACCUGACCAGGACUGCGACUCUAAGCUUUCGAUCCCCUCGUUUGUCCUAAUCUAUGGGACCAUCAGGACCGACAUUUGCUACCUAUGAUCUAGAACGUAUAAAUACGAACCAGCAUCGAUUGCGCAAUUCAUAGGGCGGACCCCUCAUG